CGGCCUCUGUGUCGUUUCACUAGCUGUAAUGUAUGUAUAUGUUAUUUGGCCUGACCUGAAUUAGUUUAAAAUGCUAAAACAGCUGUGAUUUUAAUUUAGUAAUGAGUUACUAUGGUGUAGGUGUGGAAGAAAGGCUUUAGCGCUUCACUGAAACAUGAGCCUCUGACGGACGGAUCGCCUCCAUGAACCAACCAGAUUAACCAGGCCUAUCGUGGUUCCCUAACCACCAGGACUGUGUCAUGCUCUGAGCUGAGUAAAGACUUUCUAAGGAAGCCUUCUUUAGUACUAGUGAUUUCAUAGUGACUCACCCAUGACAAAGUGCACGGAAAUGAGCUGCUUAUAAAAAAUCAGUCCUGAAUAAAAAUUGUUUUAAAUGGUCCGCAGAGCUAAUAGAUAUUUUCAGAAUUUGAAAACCAAAGGCAUCAUGAGUGUAUUUGUAUUCAGGUUGGCUAAAGGGGACUACAGCAGUAGAGAGCGGGAAAGAGCCCUCUGGAAGAGACAAGCUCGGCAUUCAGCUGAAAUCUGCUUAAUUUCCUCUAUGUGCAUUAUUUAGAGCUCCUGGCAGGUUUGGGACUCCUCAGCUUCCCGGCAGAGCUGCAGAGAGAAGGCGGGUGUCUCCCACUCUUCUUCAAGGCCUUCCGGGACCCGACAGUGCCGGUUUACCAGGUUUUGGCCAGCUUGGAUACUUAACUCAGGCAUAAAACAAGUACUCUGGCCGUGUCUGCCCGUUCCUUUGCUUCUCCCCAGAUCGCUAACCUAGUCUUAGAAGAUGCUCCCGCACUGGCCCCGUUCACCUUCUUUCCUUCUUCAUCAUGGGUCUAAUGGAGGGAUCCAGGUGACCCUCAUUCUCAUAUCAGAAUGGAACUGGGUUUAGUCCUCUCUGCGAAACAGUUUCUGCCAGUUUGCUAACAAACACAAGCCUGGCCUCCCAUGCUUCAAUUCUGUGCAGAACCGUAACGGCAGGACAGCCUGCAGUCUAAGCAGGACAGUCUGCUUCCCUUCCUAGCAGUGAGAGCUCCCAUCAGUCUAAGCGGAGUAACAACACUAACCUGGGUCUCAGGAAGGCAGCCGCUCCUCUGAGCACUCGUUUCUCUUUGCUGUUGGAAUAGUGAAGGGCCUUUGGAAGGUAGAGACAGCAGAUAAGCAUACGUUAGCAUCCUGUUAUCCUAGAUACUAUUAACAUUGGCUAACGCUAGAACACAGCGUCUGAAUGCAGUAGACUGUCCUGGUUCUCCUCUACUGCAGUAUAUUCCCAGGAGCAUGAAGGAUACAGAGGCAUUGUUCCCUCUCCCCUUUUAAAUAUCCGUUGUUUAAAUUCCUAUAAAUGGCCUUGUAAACAAAAGUGUGUAUUUGUAAGCACAUCUUCCUGUACUGUCCCCGCACCCAUGCUCCCAGACCUCAUUCAUGUGCCAGCCUUCUCACUGGGUUUCUGGUGGGCUCAUCAUCUUGCACAGAGCUACAGACUCAGCAAAUAUUCAAAAAUGACAUUAAAAUGGAUGUUUUCAUGUAUCAGAAAUAAAGAAUGCUCUCUGACGUUAAGGCAGUGACAGAGACAUGAGGGUAGUUGUGAAAGUGAUAUUCCAACAGCUGCUGGCUACAUCAGCACAUCAAAAAGAUGACGUAACAAACACCACCCUAAGAAAGGGGGGCUUCUUCAGCCAUGGUAAGCGCUGCAGUUAGUGGACAGUUACGUCUGCCCUGUUUGCAAAAGCCUUAUCUAUGGCAGAAACUUCUUAACCUUUUCUACUCUAGCAGUGAAACAUGAAUCCACUUCUUAAUAUUUGAAAUGUAUCAGUGAGUGGGCAUGUCUGUUUAUUUCAUACCUGGUAAGUGCAUUUUAUGGGGUAUAUUUUAUAAGUAAUAUUGGCACAUUUAGUGGAGUUGAUGUAGCCAGUCAGUUCCAACUUCUCUCACAAAAAGUUCUUCAGCCUCCAGGUCAUCUGGUUUGCAGUAACACUAGUGGGAUUUCCAAACUUGUGAUCUUGGGUGGGGAAUUCAUAGUACGUGAUACUGUGUAGAGUGUGAGUGGUAUAGAAGUUGUUUUUUUAAUCAUUUUAAAGUAUAUACUAUGACACGUGAAAUUUAAAACCUGUCAGAAGCUGAAGAUUUUUUUAUCUACUAUAAGAUCCAGUAUGGUCAAGGUGUGUGGCCAAUUUUAUACUUCUACCAGAGUUCUGCAAAGUUGAGGUGACAUUCACCCCACAGAGACACCCCACACAGGUAGUUACCCCCCCCUCCCAUCUGCUCUCCCCUCCCCUCAACCACCCUUUCAGAGUUUUCCUCAUGUUUCAGAAUUCUCUUGCCGUCCUUCUCAGGCAGGCCUGCAUGCCUGUUAGCUCACUUUGGUGAUGGAGCAUCCUGGACCCUCUCUCCCAGCAUGCAGGAAGGAAACCCAGAAGUGCACAGUAAAAGAGGGAGGAACUGAAGUCUCUAAAGCUAGUAGCAUUAGACUGAGAAGGUGACCAUGCAGUACAGUAAAUGUAUUUACUACACAGAACACUGAAACUCGUCAUGUGUGUUUAAUGCCUGCUUCUGCUCCCUCCGUGUCUUAAGCUCAUCUUAUCUUUGUGGCGGUAAUAUUUGUCCUUAACACUCAAAAGACUAAAAAGGUACUUUGAUUGACAAGGUCUCUCAAGAACUUACAAAACCAGCUUUGAGGAAAUCUAGACUGUUCCUGAUGACAGUGUUUGGAGUUGUAAUUGUACUUUCUUACUGUAGCGUCAGUCUGUGUAAAUAACCAGUACAGUGGCCCUUUGGUUUGUUAGUGGUUUUGUUUCUGGUCUCUGUGUGACCCACCAGGACGGGGUUCCAGGUCCACCUUUUUUUUUUUUAAUUUUGCAUUUGUCCAUCAGUAGGCUUGUCAGACAAAAUACAAGAUGCCCAGUUAGAUUUGAAUUUCAGGCAAUUUUCUAGCUCAAGUAUAUUUCAUAUUUGACAUAUCUGUGCAAUUUUUUAAAUGUUCAUUAACUUAUCUGAAAUUCAGAUUUUGACUGAAUCUCCUAGAUUUUUGUUUUCUAUGUAGUUUUUCUAAACCUGGUAGUCCUAACAGUUUGAUCACAAAAGGAGGCUCACAGCAUGUAAAUUCUCUGGUCUUUAUAGCUUUCACCAGGAAUGAAAGACAUUUUUUUCCCCUCGCCUUCUACUUAUUUCUAAAAGAGGGCAUCAAGGAACUUAACCGGCCUACAUGGUGGGUUUCUGUUUAAAACAUCUCUGUGAUUAUAUUUAACCUGUAAUUGUGCUUUGGCUUGAUGUCUACAGUACUUGUAACGGAUUAAUAUUCAAUAAAAUCAUUUUAAAGUAC
This 3301-nucleotide long non-coding RNA is filed under the name Rattus norvegicus (Norway rat). RNAcentral describes it as "long non-coding RNA NONRATT011551". The record is from RNAcentral. Lineage: Eukaryota; Metazoa; Chordata; Mammalia; Rodentia; Muridae.